RNAcentral lists this ribosomal RNA (468 nucleotides) under uncultured bacterium. RNAcentral's name for it is "partial 16S ribosomal RNA". It matches the Rfam family "Bacterial small subunit ribosomal RNA", at positions 28 to 507 of the family's 1533-position model. The record is from RNAcentral.
GACGAACGCUGGCGGCGUGCUUAACACAUGCAAGUCGAACGGAAAGGCCCUGCUUUUGUGGGGUGCUCGAGUGGCGAACGGGUGAGUAACACGUGAGUAACCUGCCCUUGACUUUGGGAUAACUUCAGGAAACUGGGGCUAAUACCGGAUAGGAGCUCCUGCUGCAUGGUGGGGGUUGGAAAGUUUCGGCGGUUGGGGAUGGACUCGCGGCUUAUCAGCUUGUUGGUGGGGUAGUGGCUUACCAAGGCUUUGACGGGUAGCCGGCCUGAGAGGGUGACCGGCCACAUUGGGACUGAGAUACGGCCCAGACUCCUACGGGAGGCAGCAGUGGGGAAUAUUGCACAAUGGGCGGAAGCCUGAUGCAGCGACGCCGCGUGCGGGAUGACGGCCUUCGAGUUGUAAACCGCUUUCGCCUGUGACGAAGCGUGAGUGACGGUAAUGGGUAAAGAAGCACCGGCUAACUACGUG